CUCUUUCUCUCCUCUCCUCCCUUCCCUUCUUCCCUGGGCCCUGGGACCCCUUUCCUUGGGUCCUGUCAUCUGGAGGAAAGAUGAGGAAACUGAAGCUCAGUUGCUUACCUGAAUUGCUCAGAGCCACACACCUACAAAGCAGUGGAGCUAACCUACCUGACUUUCAGACCACCGCUGCUUCCUCCAGGAAUCACCAAACACACCUUGUAGGAAUUAUGAAUGUCCUGCAGAGGCUGAAAACCCCUCCAUGAGCAUAACUAAGGGAAACCAUAAUUAACAGUUGUUACCCCUGUCCUGAAAUCAAAGACCAAAAAUCUUUUUUGGGCUUCCAUUGUCCCCAUUGAUUGGACAAUUAUACUUCUGAAUAAGAACACUUUCUCUGAAUGCCAUUAUAAAGAACAAAGAGGAUACACAAUAGUAAAAUGCUUAGAACAAUGCCUGGCCUACAGUGAGUUCUCAACAAAUUUUUAGUCAUCUUCUCCUAGAAUGUUAUUGUCAAGACACAAGAUCCACACAAACAAGAAGCCUGUAUUUUAUCAAGCCCUCUAUAGUUGUUCCUAAUACUGUUCUUUGGACUGUUUUUCCACUGAAGUGUGGUCAAAACAUAGAAUAUUUGCAAGAAAGCAUCCUCAAAGCAAUGCUACUGUUAUCCUUAC
Molecule: long non-coding RNA, 656 nt
Filed under: Heterocephalus glaber (naked mole-rat)
Lineage: Eukaryota; Metazoa; Chordata; Mammalia; Rodentia; Bathyergidae
Description: lncRNA (ENSHGLG00000050771.1)
Source: RNAcentral